AUAAAUGAACUAAUUUAUAGGUUCAAUUUCGGCUUGAAAUUUUGAUAUUAAAAUAUCCAUUUAAU
Molecule: transfer RNA, 65 nt
Filed under: Pseudoligosita yasumatsui
Lineage: Eukaryota; Metazoa; Arthropoda; Insecta; Hymenoptera; Trichogrammatidae
Description: tRNA-Arg
Source: RNAcentral